CGUGGUUCCGGCGGCUAGGGUGCACCAAAAACAAAGCUACGUGUGUCUAAAGAUGCGCAUGGAGGCGGGGAGCUUCGGGCUUUAUAGUGUUGCGCUCGGCUCGCUUCAGGAAGGCCUCAAUCGGCGGACGCGGGAGUCAUGGCGGCGACGGCGCGGCGCGGGGAUCGGGGGGGUUUCCUUCCGAGGAAGAAGAAGGCCCUGACAGGUGGGCCCCACCUGUCAGUGGCAGCGGGCGCGCGCGAGGCACUUGGCCGGUCCGGUUUGGGCUGGCUCGCGUCGGGCCGGCUCGGCCCAAACGGUCGGAUCGGUCCGGUUUCCCUUUUUUUUUCUUUUCUUUUUUCCUUUUUCUCAUUUCUUUGAUAACUUUUGAUUUUGAACUCCAAAUUGGUCCAAAUAAAUCCAGAACAUUUGUAAAAUCAUGUUUUAUCAUGAUACAACUUUUGGGAGUAAUUUUCCCUCAAAAUAAAAUAUAUAAAAAAUACAUUUGCCCUAUAAAUGCCUUUAGGGCUAUAUAACUAUUUAAAUAAAAUAGCUUUUCAACUCCAAAAAUUAUGGGAUAGCUCAUUUAUGCAAUAAACCCCUUUUAUAAAUAAACCUUAAUGGUUUGAAGAUCCAA
This 616-nucleotide long non-coding RNA is filed under the name Brachypodium distachyon (stiff brome). RNAcentral describes it as "long non-coding RNA (BDIS_LNC005618)". Lineage: Eukaryota; Viridiplantae; Streptophyta; Magnoliopsida; Poales; Poaceae. The record is from RNAcentral.